This 460-nucleotide ribosomal RNA is filed under the name uncultured bacterium. Its description in RNAcentral is "partial 16S ribosomal RNA". It matches the Rfam family "Bacterial small subunit ribosomal RNA", at positions 338 to 795 of the family's 1533-position model. The record is from RNAcentral.
CCUACGGGAGGCAGCAGUGAGGAAUAUUGGUCAAUGGACGAGAGUCUGAACCAGCCAAGUCGCGUGAAGGAUGACUGUCCUAUGGGUUGUAAACUUCUUUUAUCUGGGAAUAAAAUCUUCCACGUGUGUGCUUUUGUAUGUACCAUAUGAAUAAGGAUCGGCUAACUCCGUGCCAGCAGCCGCGGUAAUACGGAGGAUCCGAGCGUUAUCCGGAUUUAUUGGGUUUAAAGGGAGCGUAGGUGGAUUGUUAAGUCAGUUGUGAAAGUUUGCGGCUCAACCGUAAAACUGCAGUUGAAACUGGCAGUCUUGAGGACAGUAGAGGUGGGCGGAAUUCGUGGUGUAGCGGUGAAAUGCAUAGAUAUCACGAAGAACUACGAGUGCGAAGGCAGCACACUGGACUGCAACUGACACUGAGGCUCGAAAGCGUGGGUAUCAAACAGGAUUAGAUACCCGAGUAGUC